AAGAAACUAAGGAAUCGCUGGAGAGAGGAUUGAAGAAAUAUUCCGACCUCCUUGGGAAAUAUGAACUGGUGUUUAAGGACACUGACCUGAGCUCUUUUGAUAACAGCCGAGGAGACCCAGAGUUCCUGAGACUGAGGAAGCUGGACACCAUGAAGGAUGCACGUCCUGACAGGAUAAACGUGGAGGCUGUACACAAGGUUGCCUGGAACCCCAACCCUGGCUGCCAUAUAUGGCUGCUGUCUGCAGGGCAUGCUGGGAUAGCUCGGGUACACUUCAUCAAAGGACUGCAGAAGACUUCUAGUAGAAGAUGACAAAAAUGGAGAAGCGUCAUCUACCCAAACCUGACGUCUCCAGAGAACUAGACAGGCACAGUUCCGGAUUGAACAAGAGUUCCCAGUAAGAGAGAAGACCCCAUAACACCCAUGCCUUGAUUGGAAACCUUUCCAGUCUAACGGCUUGGGUACACUGUGUCAAGGGACUACAGAAGACUUCCAGUAGAAGAUGACAAGAGCAGGAGUGGAGAAAUGUCAUCUACCAAAACCUGACAUCUCAAAUGAAUAAAUGAAUGGUUUAUUGAGGUUAAAUCACUUGUAGCCAUUUUGCUUGAUUGUAGAUCUCAAGUGCCCAUGAUUCUAUUGCUGCAAGAAUCUUCAGACUCGAUUUCAUGACAAGCGUGUACGUACUGAAACACAACAACACACACACACACACACA
Branchiostoma belcheri (Belcher's lancelet) is the source of this 714-nucleotide long non-coding RNA. RefSeq lists it as uncharacterized. The transcript is spliced from 3 exons. The record is from RefSeq and is a predicted model, not a curated record. Lineage: Eukaryota; Metazoa; Chordata; Leptocardii; Amphioxiformes; Branchiostomatidae.